CAAAUUAUUUCAAGAUUUGUAUGUUCCAAAAAAGGAUAUGUACAUUUGUACAUGUUUGGCGAUUUGUCAAAUGACAUUUUUCUCUGCUAUAUUACCUAAAAUGCGUUAUCUAGUUUCCAACCUAAGAGUAAAUGUUAUCCAGUUUAUUUCCAUGGAUACAGGCCAAAAAUAUAAGCUUUUUGGAUAUCUAUUUUGAAGGGCAACAGUUUGUAAAUUUUUGUUAUAGAUCAAAAAUGUAAACACGGAAGUGUCAUGGUGUGAUUAAAAAUACAUGUUCCGGAUAUGGCCCCGUCAAUUUUCCGCAAUUCUUCAUCUACAUAAGAAUUUGUUUCAGAAAAAAAAUUUGGAUUAUGAGGUUGUAAAAACACGUAAAACAUAUAAAGUAUCAAGAAAAGUAAUGAUAAAUCAAGAAAUCAAAACAAAAAUGCCAAAAAACAUGUACAU
Molecule: long non-coding RNA, 444 nt
Filed under: Mytilus galloprovincialis (Mediterranean mussel)
Lineage: Eukaryota; Metazoa; Mollusca; Bivalvia; Mytilida; Mytilidae
Source: RNAcentral